RNAcentral lists this ribosomal RNA (474 nucleotides) under Streptococcus sp. oral taxon 431. Its description in RNAcentral is "bacterial SSU rRNA". It matches the Rfam family "Bacterial small subunit ribosomal RNA", at positions 28 to 487 of the family's 1533-position model. Lineage: Bacteria; Bacillati; Bacillota; Bacilli; Lactobacillales; Streptococcaceae. The record is from RNAcentral.
GACGAACGCUGGCGGCGUGCCUAAUACAUGCAAGUAGAACGCUGAAGGAGGAGCUUGCUUCUCCGGAUGAGUUGCGAACGGGUGAGUAACGCGUAGGUAACCUGCCUGGUAGCGGGGGAUAACUAUUGGAAACGAUAGCUAAUACCGCAUAACAGUAGAUAUUGCAUGAUAUCUGCUUGAAAGGUGCAAAUGCAUCACUACCAGAUGGACCUGCGUUGUAUUAGCUAGUUGGUGGGGUAACGGCUCACCAAGGCGACGAUACAUAGCCGACCUGAGAGGGUGAUCGGCCACACUGGGACUGAGACACGGCCCAGACUCCUACGGGAGGCAGCAGUAGGGAAUCUUCGGCAAUGGACGAAAGUCUGACCGAGCAACGCCGCGUGAGUGAAGAAGGUUUUCGGAUCGUAAAGCUCUGUUGUAAGAGAAGAACGGGUGUGAGAGUGGAAAGUUCACACUGUGACGGUAUCUGCCAGA